CCCUUAGAUGUUCUGGGCCGCACGCGCGCUACACUGAUGCAUUCAACGAGCCUAUCCUUGACCGACAGGUCCGGGUAAUCUUUGAAACUGCAUCGUGAUGGGGCUAGAUUAUUGCAAUUAUUAAUCUUCAACGAGGAAUGCCUAGUAAGCGUGAUUCAUCAAAUCGCGUUGAUUACGUCCCUGCCCUUUGUACACACCGCCCGUCGCUCCUACCGAUUGAAUGUGUUGGUGAGGAGCUCGGAUUGGCAGCAGUUGGUGGUUCGCCACCGGCUAUUGCUGAGAAGUCCUCCAAACCGCCCCAUUUAGAGGAAGGAGAAGUCGUAACA
RNAcentral lists this ribosomal RNA (326 nucleotides) under uncultured eukaryote. RNAcentral's name for it is "partial 18S ribosomal RNA". It matches the Rfam family "Eukaryotic small subunit ribosomal RNA", at positions 1470 to 1796 of the family's 1831-position model. The record is from RNAcentral.